Long non-coding RNA from Protopterus annectens (West African lungfish), 1791 nucleotides. RefSeq lists it as uncharacterized. The record is from RefSeq and is a predicted model, not a curated record. Lineage: Eukaryota; Metazoa; Chordata; Ceratodontiformes; Protopteridae. The transcript has 2 exons.
UUCCCCUUUAAAAAUGUCAUAGCAGUUUUUGUGUUUUCAAAUGUUUGGAUAUCAUCAGGAAAAAAUAUUUUACUUCUAGCAGGAAAUAACAAGUGUACUUUUUUUUUUUUCCUUGAGUUUUUUUAUCAAUGGUAGAAAUCCCUUUCUUUUAGUCACUACUGAAGUGGAGUAAUGAUUGUUAAAUCUUAUGCUGUCAUUUUAUGUUUGUUGGAGAAUUAGACCAUGCUGUUUUUAAUAUCCGUUCUUUAUCCUGACUGGAGAAGAUUCAACAAUUGUGGAUGUCAGUGGAGAGUUACCCUUCAAAGAAGCCACCAGGGAUCUGUGUGCUCUUUCGAUACCAAAAGACAUAGAUUCAGGUACUGGUCAUGGCUGAAAAUGGUCCUUGGACGUAUUCAUUUACCUGGUGAACAAAAAAACACAGAAACCAGCACCUGGUGCAAUUUCUACAAAAGUCUGGUGGACAGUGAAAAAUGCCUAAAUGUUACACUCCUUGCCAUGAAAAUGUUCAGCGUCUUUCGCAGCACUUACAUGUAUGAUCACUCAUUUUCCUUGUACACAAAAAAGAACCCUCAAUUGUCAUUUGAUACACAUUUAAACAAUUUCAACUUCAAAAACCAACACCAUCUGUGACAAGCUUGUUACUGAAAAGAGAUUUUUAGACCUCUAUUUCAUAUUCGUAUGUCUCUUUGGUAGUGAAGCUUGAAGUAAGCAUACUGUCUGCCUUGAACAUAAAUAAAUAAGCAAAGGUUUUCUCCGACUAAAUGAACAUAAUCACUAUACCUCUCAACUUCUUUGCUCAACAAUUCUGGAGACAGGCAGAAGUAAUGGGGGCCAAAAGUCACAAAUCAGGAGCAAUUUUUAACAUUACUCUAAUUUACAUAAAUGUUGUUAGGACAACACAUUUUGCAUCAACGUACAUUUUCUUUCUUUUUUUAAAGUAGCAUAGGUACAUCUACUGCAAUAGAAAAGAAAGUAAACCAAACUUAGUUUGUUAAUGUUUGACAUUACUGACUGACGUUAAGUUGGUGUAAAAAUAUGAGGCUCUCCUUGACGGAGUUACACAUUUCUUCACAAUAUCCCCUAUGUCUCUAUUCUUGGUUGACCCCCCUCUCAUCCUUGGUUGUUUUAAUUCCCUAUAAAUUAGGCACUCAUACAUUUAGAUACUGUUUAUUAACAGCGCAGGUUUCAAAUUGUCAUAAUUUCCUACAUUUGUAGGAUGAAUACGUCUUUGUAGUUCAGCAUGAAUUUGUGCACUUGGGGGGGCUUGAUGCAUUUAUGUAAACAAUGCAUGAUAAUCUUGACAUUCACUGACACUGAGUGUAUGAGUUGAACAUUUCAUCAUCUAAGAAAAAAAUGCUAAACUGGAAGUGGUGGAAGGGAGGAACCCCAUCAUAUAUGCACCAAGGAUGCUCCCUGUUAGAUUAGCUUAUUCUAAGAACAUAUCAAUUGUUUUGAGUGGCUGUAGCAUUUAAUCUGUAAGAAUACUAGCAUGCCCAAUUCCCAUCACCAUGUUAGUGCAAACAUUUAAAAAAGGAUUCACUUCUGGCCUUAAAAUAUUUAUUGAAUGUAUAUUGAAAAUUGCUUUCCGAGAGUCUGACACUGCUUUUGUUUUCAGAUGGCUGUACAUUAUCCCAGAAAGUAUUUCUUAAAGAUAUCUUCUUUUAUCAGUUCAGAGGGUCAUGUGUAGUAAAGGUGAACACAAAAUGUGGAAUUGGAUCAGUGUGUGAAGUAAUCUAAUUUUUUGUUUGUAACAGAAUUUCGAACUGAUACAAUUUGCUUAUUUCCAGAUAA